GACCGCCUGGGGAGUACGGCCGCAAGGUUAAAACUCAAAUGAAUUGACGGGGGCCCGCACAAGCGGUGGAGCAUGUGGUUUAAUUCGAUGCAACGCGAAGAACCUUACCUACUCUUGACAUCCAGAGAACUUUCCAGAGAUGGAUUGGUGCCUUCGGGAACUCUGAGACAGGUGCUGCAUGGCUGUCGUCAGCUCGUGUUGUGAAAUGUUGGGUUAAGUCCCGCAACGAGCGCAACCCUUAUCCUUUGUUGCCAGCGGUUAGGCCGGGAACUCAAAGGAGACUGCCAGUGAUAAACUGGAGGAAGGUGGGGAUGACGUCAAGUCAUCAUGGCCCUUACGAGUAGGGCUACACACGUGCUACAAUGGCGCAUACAAAGAGAAGCGACCUCGCGAGAGCAAGCGGACCUCAUAAAGUGCGUCGUAGUCCGGAUUGGAGUCUGCAACUCGACUCCAUGAAGUCGGAAUCGCUAGUAAUCGUGGAUCAGAAUGCCACGGUGAAUACGUUCCCGGGCCUUGUACACACCGCCCGUCACACCAUGGGAGUGGGUUGCAAAAGAAGUAGGUAGCUUAACCUUCGGGAGGGCGCUUACCACUUUGUGAUUCAUGACUGGGGUGAAGUCGUA
Molecule: ribosomal RNA, 623 nt
Filed under: Enterobacteriaceae bacterium EKM102E
Lineage: Bacteria; Pseudomonadati; Pseudomonadota; Gammaproteobacteria; Enterobacterales; Enterobacteriaceae
Description: bacterial SSU rRNA
Rfam family: Bacterial small subunit ribosomal RNA
Source: RNAcentral